UCUUUAGCAUGAAUCAGUUUUCCAGUGAUUGUUUUACAAAAAAUAAAGAAAAGCAAAUUUAUAUUCAAGCGACACAUUUUCACAUAUUAAAAUGAUAAGUAAAUUUUUUUCAGUUAAUCCGUAAAAGGUCACAAAUCUAGUUUUUUUUUUUGUUAAAAGGUUUAAAUUUUGUUUUUUUUAAUCUAAUAAAUCAAUAACUUUCUUGUAUUCCCGCUGGAAACACACCAUUGGUUAUGACUUAUGAGCAUAGUACAAUAAAAUAUUGGCAUUUACCCCCAAGUUGUAAGAAAAUAAUAUACAUAAAUUUAAUGAUGCCCAAUUUAUAAAACAAGAAAAAACAUAUUAAAUCUAUACUGAAAUAUUUAUAACCCCUAAAUUUUAAAGCUGACAUUUUGGGUUUGAUCGGUAAAGUUGAUAACAAAACAUUAACAGUAUGCUACAAAGAAGUAUGCUACAAAAUCAGUAUAUUUUCCUAAAUGUAUUUAAAUAAGAUGAUUGGUAGAUCACUAAAUAAUUCAUAUGUAUAACUAUCAUAUAAAAUUAGUAUAUGAUAUAUAAGUUCUUAUUUCUAAAUAAGAUAAAUAUAUUUAUUAGUUAUAAUCAUUGUUGAUUGGGAUAAUAAUGAACAUAAUGUGUAUUUUAAUGCUCUGUCAAUCAAGACUGCAACUUCUACUAGAAUUAAAUCCAGACGGUAGAAAUUAGUUUAAUAAUCACUUUUAGACAACUUGCAAUGGGUAUGUUGAAUCAUUUAUUUCAACUUUUGAAUGCUUUCAAUGGACAAAAAAAAACUAGGUGGAUUAAUCAAUGUUGAUAGUUUUCAACAUGUUAAAACUAGAAAAUGGGGUCCACCAGAGCAACAUGUUAUCUUUUUAUUGGUGAUUUAAAUUGCUGAGACUUUCUUUUUACAUCUUUAAUUUUUCAUAUUAAUUAUUUUAUAGCAAAUUAAUUUAUUUAUUCUACUAUAUAUUAAAUGAGAAGUCAUUUUAGGGAUUUUUGCUUACGUGUCGAUCAUAGGUAAACUCUUACAAAAUUGUUAUAAUUUGAUUGAUCGAUGAUUUUUAAUUUUUAUUUAUUUUAAUUAUAUCUAAAAAGAAAAGGUAAAUCUAGAACCAAUUAAUAUCACUUUUCAUAUAUAAAAAAUUAGUUACCUUAUGGUAACUCUUAAAAAUAAAAAAUGAUCAAUUUAUUUCUCUUUCUAUAAUUUCCACAAUUACUUACCAUAAGGUAACUAUAAUUUCAACAAUUAGUUACCAUAAAUCAUUAUUUGUAAUAUUAUUAUGGAGUAUUAUUUAAAAGUAAACAAAAUUAUUAUGUAAUAUAAUUUCAACAAUUAAUCACCUAUGAUCGACACGUAAGUAAAAUUCACUACAGUGUUCAAAAUACAGGCGUAGGUAGCUAAUUGUUGAAAUUAUUACAAAUAAUGAUUUAUUGUAACUAAUUGCUGAAAUUAUAGAAAGAGAAAUAAAUUGAUAAUUUUUAUAUUUAAAAAUACAUAAAAUAAUAAACAACAGACCAUUUAUAAAUCAAUAUAAUGAAUUUAUAUUCUUAUUUAAAAGCAUUAUAUUUUAUAUAAAUUAUCAUAAUAACUAUUAACAUCUCCUAAAGUUCAUAUUAUAUGCUUUAUAAAACAUCUAUAAAAACAUUUUUUAAAAUAUUUAUCUUGGCUUAUUUUAUAUUUUAAAUUAUUAUAACAGUUUGUAAUUCAUCUAUAAGAGCUUAAAAUCAAAGCUAUAUAUCAUACUAUAUAUUAAUUGAUAAGUAAUUUCAGAGAUUUUUGGUUAUGUGUCGAUCAUUUAUGAAAUCUUAAAAGACUGUUAUAAAUAGAUUGUCGAUACUUCAUAAUUUUUAUUUAUUUUUAUUUAUUUUGAUUAGAUUUAAAAGAAAAAAUAAGUCUAUAAACAGUUAAUAUCACUUGCCAAAAAUCUACAUAAUAUUACAAAUAGUUAUUUAUGGCAAGUAAUUGUUGAAACUAUAGAAAAAGUAAUAAUGUUUGAUCAUUUUUUAUAUAUUUAUAAACUACAUAAAAUAGUAA
Long non-coding RNA from Brassica rapa (field mustard), 2032 nucleotides. RefSeq lists it as uncharacterized. Lineage: Eukaryota; Viridiplantae; Streptophyta; Magnoliopsida; Brassicales; Brassicaceae. The record is from RefSeq and is a predicted model, not a curated record.